UGGGGAAUUUUGGACAAUGGGGGCAACCCUGAUCCAGCAAUGCCGCGUGAGUGAAGAAGGCCUUCGGGUUGUAAAGCUCUUUUGUCAGGGAAGAAACACCGGCUCUAACACAGUCCGGGAAUGACGGCACCUGAAGAAUAAGCACCGGCUAACUACGUGCCAGCAGCCGCGGUAAGACGUAGGAUGCAAGCGUUGUCCGGAUUUAUUGGGCGUAAAGAGUUCGUAGGUGGUUUGUUAAGUCUGAUGUUAAAGAUCGGGGCUCAACCCCGGGAGUGCAUUGGAUACUGGCAGACUUGAGUGCGGUAGAGGUAAGUGGAAUUCCCAGUGUAGCGGUGAAAUGCGUAGAUAUUGGGAAGAACACCAGUGGCGUAGGCGACUUACUGGGCCGUAACUGACACUGAGGAACGAAAGCCAGGGGAGCAAAUGGG
Molecule: ribosomal RNA, 428 nt
Filed under: uncultured bacterium
Lineage: Bacteria
Description: bacterial SSU rRNA
Rfam family: Bacterial small subunit ribosomal RNA
Source: RNAcentral